GCGAGGUGGCUGCAUGGUUGUCGUCAGCUCGUGCCGUGAGGUGUCGGGUUAAGUCCCAUAACGAGCGCAACCCCUACCUGCUAGUUGCCAGCGGGUCAUGCCGGGGACUCUAGCGGAACUGCCAGCGUAAGCUGCGAGGAAGGUGGGGAUGACGUCAAAUCAGCACGGCCCUUACGUCCAGGGCUACACACGUGUUACAAUGGCCAGUACAGAGGGCAGCCACCCCGCGAGGGGGCGCUAAUCCUAAAAGCUGGUCCCAGUUCGGAUCGGAGUCUGCAACCCGACUCCGUGAAGCUGGAUUCGCUAGUAAUCGCGCAUCAGCCACGGCGCGGUGAAUACGUUCCCGGGCCUU
RNAcentral lists this ribosomal RNA (352 nucleotides) under uncultured Rikenellaceae bacterium. Its description in RNAcentral is "bacterial SSU rRNA". It matches the Rfam family "Bacterial small subunit ribosomal RNA", at positions 1033 to 1382 of the family's 1533-position model. Lineage: Bacteria; Pseudomonadati; Bacteroidota; Bacteroidia; Bacteroidales; Rikenellaceae. The record is from RNAcentral.